RNAcentral lists this ribosomal RNA (446 nucleotides) under uncultured bacterium. RNAcentral describes it as "partial 16S ribosomal RNA". It matches the Rfam family "Bacterial small subunit ribosomal RNA", at positions 354 to 796 of the family's 1533-position model. The record is from RNAcentral.
GUAAGGAAUAUUGGGCAAUGGAGGCAACUCUGACCCAGCCAUGCCGCGUGAAGGAUUGCCGGCCCUCUGGGUUGUAAACUUCUUUUGUACGGGAAUAACCCUCCGGACGUGUCCGGAGCUGAAGGUACCGUAAGAAUAAGGAUCGGCUAACUCCGUGCCAGCAGCCGCGGUAAUACGGAGGAUCCAAGCGUUAUCCGGAUUUACUGGGUUUAAAGGGUGCGUCGGCGGAUUAAUAAGUCCGUGGUGAAAGCCUGCAGCUUAACUGCAGAACUGCCAUUGAUACUGUUAGUCUGGAGUAUGGUUGAGGUAGCUGGAAUGUGUCAUGUAGCGGUGAAAUGCUUAGAGAUGACACAGAACACCGACGGCGAAGGCAGGUUACCAACCCAUUACUGACGCUGAGGCACGAAAGCGUGGGGAUCAAACAGGAUUAGAAACCCGGGUAGUCC